This 61-nucleotide transfer RNA is filed under the name Carios vespertilionis. Its description in RNAcentral is "tRNA-Trp". Lineage: Eukaryota; Metazoa; Arthropoda; Arachnida; Ixodida; Argasidae. The record is from RNAcentral.
AAGACUUUAAGUUAAAAAAACUUUAUACCUUCAAAGUAUAAAUUACUAAAUGUAAGUCUUA